UACGUAGGGUGCAAGCGUUGUCCGGAAUUAUUGGGCGUAAAGAGCUCGUAGGCGGUCUGUCGCGUCGGCUGUGAAAUCCCGAGGCUCAACCUCGGGUCUGCAGUCGAUACGGGCAAACUGGAGUGUUGCAGGGGAGACUGGAAUUCCUGGUGUAGCGGUGAAAUGCGCAGAUAUCAGGAGGAACACCGGUGGCGAAGGCGGGAUCCUGGGCCAGUACUGACGCUGAGGAGCGAAAGCGUGGGGAGCAAACGGG
This 253-nucleotide ribosomal RNA is filed under the name uncultured bacterium. Its description in RNAcentral is "partial 16S ribosomal RNA". It matches the Rfam family "Bacterial small subunit ribosomal RNA", at positions 524 to 776 of the family's 1533-position model. The record is from RNAcentral.